Molecule: RNA transcript, 2789 nt
Organism: Panicum virgatum (switchgrass)
Lineage: Eukaryota; Viridiplantae; Streptophyta; Magnoliopsida; Poales; Poaceae
Gene name: R3H domain-containing protein 2-like
Exons: 5
Source: RefSeq, a predicted model, not a curated record
UCCCUAUCCUCCUCGCCUUCGCCUCAGAUUCCUGCCCGUCCCUCUAUAUCCACCCUCCCCGCAACACCAAGCACCGCAGAAGCAAACCCUAGCCGCGCUUCCCCCUCCAGAUCCCGGCGGUCUCCCCCGCCCCAUGGCGGCCCUCGCCCCGACGAGCUCCAGCCUCCCCGCCCGCCGCCUCUAGCUCCGGAUCGCCCGCGCACGCAAGGCCAGCCAGCCAGCCAGCCAGCCAUGGAGCCCGCCGAGGACGCCGCCGCCGCCGCCGCGCCGGACUCGUGGGAGACGGCCGACAUCGACGGGCCCAUGAGCCGGCUCAUCCUCACCGCGCGCCGCGUGUCCUCGUCGCCCGACCUGGCCGAGGAGCAGCAGGACCCGCCCCCGGCGCCGCCGCAGACGCAGGGCCCCGCCCCCGCGGGCGACGAUUCGGUCGCCCAGGUCGACCAGUUCCUCCGGGAGGCCCUCGAGAAGCCGCGGGAGAGGCUCUCUGUGCUAAGAAUGGAGCAAGAUAUUUUGAAGUUCAUCCGUGACCCCAGACGGACAGAGUUUGAAUUCACGGGCCUCCCAACUUCAUAUCUGCGUCUUGCUGCACACCGCCUGGCACAACAUUACUUCCUCCAGUCCCAUGCUAUACCAGACAACAGUUUGCCUGAUGGAACUGGUUCUCGUAUUAUUCUCUGUAAGACGUCAUCUGAGUGCCGACUGCCUGCUGUGCGACUUGCUGAUAUUCCAGUUAACCUGCCACAAGAAGAGAGCAGUACUUUGGCCAAAGUAGCAAUCAAGCAGAGGCCUCAAAAAAAUUUCCAUAGCACUAAUAGCUCAAGUCCUCACUCUUCUAGAGACAACCUCCAGAAAAGUGUUGAAGAAAGAAAAGAGGAAUACAACAGGGCACGUGCACGGAUAUUUAACAACAGCAGUAGCGGUAAUGCUGCUGAUGGGAGACCUGUUGAGGAAGUGACUUUGCCCAAUACUCUGCAUAGGUCCUCUUCCUUGGAGUUGAACUCAAGCAAUAGAAUGGGCCAAGGGGCUGAAAUUGCUACAAUUACUCUUGAAAGGAGUUUGACUACCACUUCAGCCAGUAGCAGGUCAAAUCGAAGCAAGAUCGAGAAGGAGCCUGGAGUCAAUAGAAGCAGGCAAAAUAACAGGGUUGCAAUUUUCAGGGACCGUGAGUCAGAGCGAAAAGAUCCUGAUUAUGAUAGGAGUUAUGACAGGUACAUGCAAAGAUUUGACCCUGGAUUUGGAUUUAAUGGAGGCCCAUACACCAUUCAACCCCUGUAUGCCCCUGCUGUAAACUACAACACUGAAUUCCCCCAACUUGGCUCAGCACACAGAUCUCCUGUUGCUGUUGAACAGCAACCUCGUCCAAUAGCUCAGCACAUGCCUGGGUCAUGGUCAGCAGGACAAGCACCUAAUGCAAUUGGCUAUGGACCUCCAGAUGGAGUCAUGGCACCUUACAGUCCUGGUCACACAGGUGCUCCUGUGAGAUCAUCUGUUUUCAUGCAUGCUUCGCAGCAAUAUGCCAUACCUUCACGCCCUGGAAUGCCAUUUGUACAUCCACCGGAAUCAAUGGGACCAUUUGCACAGACUCACCAACAACAACCAGAAGCUAGUUUGCGCUUUGCCCGGCCCCGGUGAGGGGCCCGGGCAUGCCUGCACCUGCCAGCACGCGCUCAACAUGUCAAAUUGGAUGAUGCAUCCAAUUUAAUUGUUGCUGGUAGACUGCAGGCAUAGAAUGACCGAGAAGCGCUGGGCAGAGGCAUUCAUCCAUUCAAUCAUGCCAGCUUCUGCGCUCUUGGUUUUUUUGCUCCCUGCAUAUUGAGAUGCAGGAGGGGCAUCAUAUACUCCAUUGAAAGGUACUUGAGGUUCAUUGGACUGACUUCUACGUCCAAUGCGAAAAGAUGUGAAAAGAAGCCGAGAAGUGAAGGGCAGGACCAGUCACCUCUGUGGUCUUGCCAGCUCAAUUGCUGUUGCUUGCUCCUCGCAGAUUAAGAUGCUGGAGGUUUAUUGGACAGAUCCUUAAAGUCCAAUGCACAAUUCUCAGUGUGGUUGCAUGCUGCUCUAAGAUUGAGAUGUUGGAUGGGCACAUCUUGCUACUUACUCCUUUGAUGGGCCCUUGACUGAUGAUGAUGAAAAAAAGAUUGGGAUCGUGGGUGGUAUGUGGGUGCUGGACCAGAGAAGAGUUUGGGGUGAUCCAGUAUGUUAACAGGCAAUGGGGGUGCGGGUUACUCCUUCGAUGGGCCCUUGACUGAUGAUGAUGAAAAAAAGAUUGAGUUCAUGGGUGGUAUGUGGAUGCUGGACCAGAGAAGAGUUUGGGGUGAUCCAGUAUGUUAACAGGCAAUGGGGGUGCGGUUUCUGAUGGGCUGGAAGGAAAGAUAAGGGGCACUAGCUGUGUUGGUGGCUUUGGAUGCGGCACUCUUGAAGAUGAGCUAGAGUGAAGACAAGGUUCUUCCUUGCCUAGUGCAGCCCUGGCUCGAUCGGGACUGGGAAGUUGCUGCCGUGGCUGUUGUUUUAAGAUGAGGUUUGAGUCAGUGAGUGUUGUGUGUACAUGAAUGUGCGUUAGCUGAGUGGCUAAGAAUAUUUACUGUACUAUGUGAAGUAACUACUCAAGGUGGUAAACUAAGAUGACUAUAAAUCAUUAAGCUAUGGCGAUUAGUGUUUAAUAGUUCCACAAUGGGGUAAACUAAGGUGGUGCAGACGUGCCGUUACUGGAUGUAUGCUUUGCUUAUCUUUCCGUGCGAUGUAAAUGACGACUGUGAGCCAGUGACAAUACACUGUACAACAACUAUGUCACU